This 466-nucleotide ribosomal RNA is filed under the name uncultured bacterium. RNAcentral's name for it is "partial 16S ribosomal RNA". It matches the Rfam family "Bacterial small subunit ribosomal RNA", at positions 28 to 507 of the family's 1533-position model. The record is from RNAcentral.
GACGAACGCUGGCGGCGCGCCUAACACAUGCAAGUCGAACGAGCGAGAGAGAGCUUGCUUUCUCGAGCGAGUGGCGAACGGGUGAGUAACGCGUGAGGAACCUGCCUCAAAGAGGGGGACAACAGUUGGAAACGACUGCUAAUACCGCAUAAGCCCACGGCUCGGCAUCGAGCAGGGGGAAAAGGAGCAAUCCGCUUUGAGAUGGCCUCGCGUCCGAUUAGCUAGUUGGUGAGGUAACGGCCCACCAAGGCGACGAUCGGUAGCCGGACUGAGAGGUUGAACGGCCACAUUGGGACUGAGACACGGCCCAGACUCCUACGGGAGGCAGCAGUGGGGAAUAUUGCACAAUGGGGGAAACCCUGAUGCAGCGACGCCGCGUGGAGGAAGAAGGUCUUCGGAUUGUAAACUCCUGUUGUUGGGGAAGAUAAUGACGUUACCCAACAAGGAAGUGACGGCUAACUACGUG